UACGUAGAAGGCAAACGUUGUUCGGAUUUACUGGGCGUAAAGCGGGUGCAGACGGCGCCUUAAGUCGGAUGUGAAAUCUCCCGACUCAAUCGGGAGAGGUCGUUCGAUACUGGGGAGCUUGAGGGCAGCAGGGGAAGGCGGAAUUCCCGGUGUAGCGGUGAUAUGCGUAGAUAUCGGGAGGAACACUAGUGGCGAAGGCGGCCUUCUGGGCUGAUCCUGACGUUCAAACCCGAAAGCGUGGGGAG
This 245-nucleotide ribosomal RNA is filed under the name uncultured bacterium. Its description in RNAcentral is "partial 16S ribosomal RNA". It matches the Rfam family "Bacterial small subunit ribosomal RNA", at positions 524 to 768 of the family's 1533-position model. The record is from RNAcentral.